This 702-nucleotide ribosomal RNA is filed under the name Polyplax reclinata. RNAcentral's name for it is "small subunit ribosomal RNA". The record is from RNAcentral. Lineage: Eukaryota; Metazoa; Arthropoda; Insecta; Psocodea; Polyplacidae.
UUCUGUUGCUAAAGGAAACAAAAUUAAUUUACCCUAUCAGGCCUAUAGAGCACUAAGGCAGAAGUUUUUACAACUAAUUUAGGUAAGGUGAAUAGGACUUUGUCUAUGAGAAAGUGUGCCAGCACAUGCGGUCAAACACUUAGACAAAUUAAUUAAAACUGGAAUGACAAAACUUAUCCUAAUAAACAAGCUACUAGUUGGUGAAAUAUAAAGUAGGGAGAUGUUGAGAGAGUUGUCAGAAAGAACUACUUUAAACUGGGAUUAGAUACCCCUUUAUAAGUUCCUAUUGCAUUUUCCAGAAAUAUUAUAACAUUUUCUCUUGGAAAUCGAAUGUUUAAAACUUAUUUAAGGCAUGGCGGCAGUAAACCUACUCAGAGGCAUAUGUUCAUAAACGAAACUGCACGAGAAUCUUACUUUCUUUAUGUCUUGUACAUCGCUGUUUAGACACACCAAAACUGGUGCGUCUCUUUCUACAUCUUAUGCAGAAAAAAAUCAAGUCAAGGUGCAGACUUAGGAAGGAAAAAUGUAUGUCAGUAAUUAAAAUUUACCUGUCACUUAUGAAAGUGAGUGAAAAAGAGAAUUUGAUAGUAAGAACUUCUCAUUAUUAAGUUCUGAAUAAGAAAUUUACUGUGUACAAAUCGCCCGUCACCCCUGUAAAUGGAUAAGUCGUAACAAAGUUGACUUACUGGAAAGUGAGUUAAG